Molecule: non-coding RNA, 24 nt
Filed under: Arabidopsis thaliana (thale cress)
Lineage: Eukaryota; Viridiplantae; Streptophyta; Magnoliopsida; Brassicales; Brassicaceae
Source: RNAcentral
AGGAGUAGCUUUUUGUUGCAUCUC